This is a small nucleolar RNA of Artibeus jamaicensis (Jamaican fruit-eating bat), 121 nucleotides long. RefSeq annotates it as small nucleolar RNA SNORA32. Lineage: Eukaryota; Metazoa; Chordata; Mammalia; Chiroptera; Phyllostomidae. The record is from RefSeq and is a predicted model, not a curated record. The transcript has a single exon.
UGGUCAUUGCCAAGGCUUUUAGAACGCAAUGCCUCAUUUGCCGUGGACAUGACCGCAGAACAUGUUCUUACAAGGUUUUCUUUCUGCUACACUGCUUGUGUUCAGCCUAUUGGGAAUAUUU